This 376-nucleotide unclassified non-coding RNA is filed under the name Langebergia canescens. RNAcentral's name for it is "contains 5' external transcribed spacer, ETS". The record is from RNAcentral. Lineage: Eukaryota; Viridiplantae; Streptophyta; Magnoliopsida; Asterales; Asteraceae.
CGUAAAGGUGCAUGAGUGGUGUUCGGUUUGUUACGGGUGGUUGGCUCUUUGCUUGCGCAACAACUUCCACCUGGCAUACCUCUUCAGUCUUGUGUCAAUGCUUGUAUCGCAUUGAACGCACGGUGGGUUUCUUGUGUUGCAUGCCUAAUUGAUGGUAUCAUUUGAUGAACUGAUGUCCCUUUUCGUCUUGUGUUGCACAUGCGAUGCGAGAUGAACCUUGACGCAGCCUUUGUGAUCCCCUCUUUCGAUGCACACGCAUUGAUUUUGUGGCUCAUUGAGUGUUGCUUGGUCUCACGGAUAUGGAACCUUGUGUGGGCAUGGGAUCUUUUACUAGUUCCUUGUUUGCCCUAGUUAAGCUUUUCACAUACGAUUUCCU